This 256-nucleotide ribosomal RNA is filed under the name uncultured prokaryote. RNAcentral's name for it is "partial 16S ribosomal RNA". It matches the Rfam family "Bacterial small subunit ribosomal RNA", at positions 522 to 777 of the family's 1533-position model. The record is from RNAcentral.
AAUACGUAGGGACCGAGCGUUGUCCGGAAUUAUUGGGCGUAAAGGGCUCGUAGGCGGUUUGUCGCGUCGGGAGUGAAAACACUGGGCUUAACCCAGUGCUUGCUUUCGAUACGGGCAGACUAGAGGUAUGCAGGGGAGAACGGAAUUCCUGGUGUAGCGGUGAAAUGCGCAGAUAUCAGGAGGAACACCGGUGGCGAAGGCGGUUCUCUGGGCAUGUCCUGACGCUGAGGAGCGAAAGUGUGGGGAGCGAACAGGA